ACGGAAGGCAGCAGUGAGGAAUAUUGGUCAAUGGACGGAAGUCUGAACCAGCCAUGCCGCGUGCAGGAAUAAGGCCCUAUGGGUCGUAAACUGCUUUUGUGGUGGAGCAAUAAGGCGUACGUGUACGUCGAUGAGAGUACAUCACGAAUAAGCAUCGGCUAACUCCGUGCCAGCAGCCGCGGUAAUACGGAGGAUCCGAGCGUUAUCCGGAUUUAUUGGGUUUAAAGGGUGCGCAGGCGGCUUUUUAAGUCAGUGGUUAAAUCGUGACGCUCAACGUCAUCACGCCAUUGAUACUGGAGAGCUUGAUUGCGGUCGAGGUUUGCGGAAUUCGUUGUGUAGCGGUGAAAUGCAUAGAUAUGACGAAGAACACCGAUUGCGUAGGCAGCAGACCAGGCCGUAAAUGACGCUCAUGCACGAAAGUGCGGGGAUCGAACAGGAUUAGAUACCCUGGUA
RNAcentral lists this ribosomal RNA (453 nucleotides) under uncultured Sphingobacterium sp. RNAcentral's name for it is "partial 16S ribosomal RNA". It matches the Rfam family "Bacterial small subunit ribosomal RNA", at positions 341 to 792 of the family's 1533-position model. Lineage: Bacteria; Pseudomonadati; Bacteroidota; Sphingobacteriia; Sphingobacteriales; Sphingobacteriaceae. The record is from RNAcentral.